AAAGGUCUGGUCCAUUACCUUAUUAUUAGCAAAAACGUAAUUUAUACAUGCAAGUAUCAGCACACCCGUGAGUAAGCCCUAACCCUUAUUAGGACAAGGAGCCGGUAUCAGGCACAGAAAAAUCUAGCCCACUACACCUAGCUUUAGCCACACCCUCAAGGGAAUCCAGCAGUAAUUAACAUUGUAAAUAAGCGAAAGCUUGAUUCAGUUAUAGUUUACAAGAGCUGGCCAAUUCGGUGCCAGCCGCCGCGGCUACACCGCUAGCUCAAGCUAAUAAACAACGGCGUUAAGCGUGUUUAAAGUUACCAAAAAACUAGAGUUAAACCCUUAAUCAUAGAGCAAUAUCAUGAUUAUUAAGAAAUACACAAACGAAAGUUACUCUAAAAAUUUGACUUGAAUCCACGAAAGCUAAGAAACAAACUGGGAUUAGAUACCCCACUAUGCUUAGCCCUAAAAUAUCAAUUACACUAAAACCCGCCAAAAAACUACGAGCGCAAGCUUGAAACUUAAGGACUUGACGGUGUCCAAUCAACCUAGAGGAGCCUGUUCUGUAACCGAUGAUCCCCGUUAUACCUCACCUCUUUUAGCUAAUCAGCCUGUAUACUUCCGUCGUAAGCUAACCAUGUGACUGUUACAGUAAGCUAAAUAGUUAAUACACCAAAACGUCAGGUCAAAGUGCAACCUAUAAAGAGGAAAGAAAUGGGCUACUAUUUUUAACUCAAGAAAAACGAAUUAGCAUCUCAAUAACUGCUAUGAAGGUGGAUUUAGAAGUAAAGUGAAAAUAGCGUGUUCACUUUAAUAAUGUACUAGGACAUGUACAAACCGCCCGUCAUCCUCUUUUUCCUUAAUCCCCUACCUAUACCUAAUAAAUUUAUUAAGAACCAAAAGAGGCAAGUCGUAACAUGGUAAGUAUACUGGAAAGUGUACUUGGCUAA
RNAcentral lists this non-coding RNA (935 nucleotides) under Hyperolius sp. TNHC 61197. Its description in RNAcentral is "12S ribosomal RNA". It matches the Rfam family "Bacterial small subunit ribosomal RNA". Lineage: Eukaryota; Metazoa; Chordata; Amphibia; Anura; Hyperoliidae. The record is from RNAcentral.